UAGGGUUUGAUUCCGGAGAGGGAGCCUGAGAAACGGCUACCAGUUCUAAGGAAGGCAGCAGGCGCGCAAAUUACCCAAUCCCGACACGGGGAGGUAGUGAACAGAAAUAACAAUAUAGGGCUUUUUCAAGUCUUGUAAUUGGAAUGAGAACAAUUUAAAAACCUUAUCGAGUAACAAUUGGAGGACAAGUCUGGUGCCAGCACCCGCGGUAACUCCAGCUCCAAUAGCGUAUAUUAAAGUUGUUGCAGUUAAAAAGCUCGUAGUCGAACUUUGGAGACGCGCAAUCGACUUUGCCUGCGGGUAAUGUUGAAUGCACGAUCUCUUCCUUUCGUGGACGUGGGUUGCGCUUAACUGUCGCGAUUCGCGGACUCGAAAACUUUACUUUGAAGAAAUUAGAGUGCUUAACACAAGCAAACGCUAUGAAUACACUAGCAUGAAAUAAUUAAAUAGACUUUGGUCUAUUUUGUUGGUUUUACGGCCAAAGUGAUGAUUAAUAGGGAUAGUCGGGGCGAUUGGUACUUCAAAGUCAGAGGUGAAAUUCUUGGAUUUUUGAAAGACCAACUUCUGCGAAAGCAUCUCGCAAGGAUGUUUUCAUUGAUCAAGAACGAAAGUUAGGGGAUCGAAGGCGAUUAGAAACCGCCCUAGUCCUAACCAUAAACGAUGCCGACUAGAAAUUGGAGGCAGUUAUUCUCAUGACUCCUUCAGCGCCUUAUGAGAAAUCAAAGUUUUUGGGUUCUGGGGGGAGUAUGGUCGCAAGGCUGAAACUUAAAGGAAUUGACGGAAAGGCACAACCAGGAGUGGAGCCUGCGGCUUAAUUUGACCCAACACGGGAAAACUCACCAGGGCAAGACGAAAUUAUGAUUGACAGAUUGAAAGCUCUUUCUUGAUUUUUCGGGUGGUGGUGCAUGGCCGUUCUUAGUUGGUGGAGUGAUUUGUCUGGUUAAUUCCGAUAACGAACGAGACCUCAGCCUGCUAAAUAGUCACACGAAUCCUGCGGGAUUAGUGGUAGACUUCUUAGAGGGACCAUCGAUAUUGAAUCGAAGGAAGAUUGAGGCAAUAACAGGUCUGUGAUGCCCUUAGAUGUCCUGGGCUGCACGCGCGCUACACUGGAGAAUUCAGCAAGUUUAACACCUUGGCCGACAGGUCUGGGUAAUCUUUUGAAAUUUCUCCGUGCUGGGGAUCGUUUCUUGCAAUUAUGAAACGUGAACGUGGAAUUCCUAGUAUGUCGAGUCAUCAGCUCGCGCAGAUUACGUCCCUGCCUUUUGUACACACCGCCCGUCGCUCCUACCGAUUGGAUAUUGAAGUGAAAUUUCUGGAGUGUGAUCAGCGAUCACUUCGGUGAAAGCGGAUUGCGCGAAGCUAAGUGAACUUUAAUAUCUAGAGGAAGGAGAAGUCGUAACAAGGUU
Molecule: ribosomal RNA, 1406 nt
Filed under: metagenome
Description: SSU rRNA
Rfam family: Eukaryotic small subunit ribosomal RNA
Source: RNAcentral